RNAcentral lists this ribosomal RNA (529 nucleotides) under Megabalanus tintinnabulum. RNAcentral describes it as "partial 16S ribosomal RNA". It matches the Rfam family "Bacterial large subunit ribosomal RNA", at positions 1834 to 2625 of the family's 2925-position model. Lineage: Eukaryota; Metazoa; Arthropoda; Thecostraca; Balanomorpha; Balanidae. The record is from RNAcentral.
UUCCUCUUAGAAAAGGAGGUAAGGCCUGCUCACUGAAUUCUUAAAGAGCCGCAGUAUCCUAACUGUGCUAAGGUAGCAUAAUCAUUAGUCUUUUAAUUGGAGACUGGUAUGAAUGGCUAAACGAGAAAUUGACUUUUUUUGUUAUAAAAAUUGAACUUAAUUUUUUAGUGAAAAAGCUAAAAUUUUUCAGAAAGACGAGAAGACCCUAUAGAGUUUUAUAUCUCAGAAUACUCUUUCUAAGUAGAUUUUUUCUGAAAGAGUGUAAACAGGUAUUUUGUUGGGGCGACAUUAAGAUAAGAAAAACUCUUUAUUUUUUAAAUUUUAAUUGAAAUAUGUUUGAUCCUCUAAAAGAGAUCAAAAGGAAAAAUUACCUUAGGGAUAACAGCGUAAUCUUUUUUGAGAGUUCUAAUCGACAAAAAGGUUUGCGACCUCGAUGUUGGACUAAAAUUUAGGCAGGGUGCAGCAGUUCUGCUUUAAGGUCUGUUCGACCUAUAAUAUUUUACACGAUCUGAGUUCAGACCGGCGUAAG